Molecule: non-coding RNA, 22 nt
Filed under: Mus musculus (house mouse)
Lineage: Eukaryota; Metazoa; Chordata; Mammalia; Rodentia; Muridae
Source: RNAcentral
UGGGAUUAAAGGUAUAUGCCAC